CUGUAUUCGUGUGUCCUGUUCAUUCUUUUUCUGGCCUGCCUGUACCGCUCUGUAGUAGUACUCCCGCCUGGACACUGCGCUCCAUCGCCGCCACUCGUCACUCGUCCCCUCCGGUAAACGCAGACAGAUCGAAGUAGCCCGCCCAGAUCCGUUAUCAGUGGAGACGACUCACCUGCUGUCCAUCGCCGCCGCUCCCGGUCCCAUGCUUCUCCCCCACCGAGGCGGCCCCUCCGCGCCGCCCAUUCUCCUUGCCCGCCGAUGCGAGACCUCCGCGCGCUCCUCUUCCUUGUCACCCGAUGUCGCAUCUUCCUGUUUUGCUCAGUCCGCCAGGUCGCGAGUCUGGAUCUAGAUUUCAGAGGAAAAUGGAGUGUUCUUUUGUAUGCGGUAGUGAUUUCCCUGCCGCAUACAGCAGAUUUUCGUGUUGUAUCUGAAUGUAAUCUCCGCACAACUAAUUUGAUGUUUUCCCCUUUCCCCUUUCGAGGUGCACGACGCCUUCGCGGCGGCCGCCGGCGACGAGGAUGCAGCCACCUCCGACGUGGCUGCCUACCGGCUGGGGCUCAACAUCACCUCCGCGGGUCUGAGACGUCCACAACGUUGUCUUCUCCUUCCGCACGCAGCACGCUCAACGCAAUCAGCGCCGGUCGCAAGGAUUGUACAUUCGAGCUUGCCGUAGAUGAGGACGAGGAGUUCUUGCCGUAGAUGAAGGUUGCGAUCCCUGUUGUUCGGACUGUCAGGGUAGUCAUAACUUUGAACAUUUUCGUUCCCUUUUGGAGCCAGAGGAGUUCUUCACGCCGAUGUCGAGCCAGUGAACCUGUCGCAGGUCGCGGACAAAACUGACCUCUUCACCAUCUCAGUGACUACACCUAGGUAAACCUGGGUUCUAAAGACGAGAAGUCAUCCAAGACUAGCUAAAAAGAAGUGCAAAAAGACCUAACGUGCUACCGGUUUAAUUCAGGGAUCUUGAUCUACCAGUUUCAUCUUCAUUGAUGGCUGGUGGCUUUAGACACCACCUAAUCUGGGUUGUAGUCCUCUGAAUCUUAACUAACAGGAUGUUAAGACGGUCUCUUCAGUUUAUGUAUCCACCAAUUGAUUGCACAAAAAACGUGGUUUAUUUUUUGGAUCUAUUUCUAUGUACUUGAAAAUUUUAAUCGAGGUGCCAGAUGUAUUCGUAA
This is a long non-coding RNA of Lolium perenne, 1172 nucleotides long. RefSeq lists it as uncharacterized. The record is from RefSeq and is a predicted model, not a curated record. NCBI's taxonomy places the organism in Eukaryota, Viridiplantae, Streptophyta, Magnoliopsida, Poales, Poaceae.